RNAcentral lists this ribosomal RNA (497 nucleotides) under uncultured bacterium. RNAcentral's name for it is "partial 16S ribosomal RNA". It matches the Rfam family "Bacterial small subunit ribosomal RNA", at positions 28 to 507 of the family's 1533-position model. The record is from RNAcentral.
GAUGAACGCUGGCGGCGUGCCUAAUACAUGCAAGUCUAACGCACAGCGAAAGGUGCUUGCACCUUUCAAGUGAGUGGCGAACGGGUGAGUAACACGUGGACAACCUGCCUCAAGGCUGGGGAUAACAUUUGGAAACAGAUGCUAAUACCGAAUAAAACUUAGUGUCGCAUGACACAAAGUUAAAAGGCGCUUCGGCGUCACCUAGAGAUGGAUCCGCGGUGCAUUAGUUAGUUGGUGGGGUAAAGGCCUACCAAGACAAUGAUGCAUAGCCGAGUUGAGAGACUGAUCGGCCACAUUGGGACUGAGACACGGCCCAAACUCCUACGGGAGGCUGCAGUAGGGAAUCUUCCACAAUGGGCGAAAGCCUGAUGGAGCAACGCCGCGUGUGUGAUGAAGGCUUUCGGGUCGUAAAGCACUGUUGUAUGGGAAGAACAGCUAGAAUAGGAAAUGAUUUUAGUUUGACGGUACCAUACCAGAAAGGGACGGCUAAAUACGUG